Molecule: long non-coding RNA, 2145 nt
Organism: Meriones unguiculatus (Mongolian gerbil)
Lineage: Eukaryota; Metazoa; Chordata; Mammalia; Rodentia; Muridae
Exons: 3
Source: RefSeq, a predicted model, not a curated record
UUCACCACAGGCCCAGAUAUCUGUGGGGGGAGCUCUGGGCAGGAACUCAGCCUCUAUGGGAACCCUGAGAAAAUCAGACUGAAAUCCUGCCCAGGGAAAGCUGCAGUUGUUCAAGGAGAGCUUCAUUUCAAUACAUGUGGUCUCUGAGAAGAUUUGGGCCAACGACAGAUGAAUUCAACUCUGGGUUGUGGUAUGUUGACCACUAGGCAAGACUGCCCCAACUGGCCCACCGCUAGGGCUAGGGCCCAGCCUAACCUGUGGACACCUGAAGAGUCAUUGCUUCACAUUGCUGAAGGCUCUCAUUAGGUAGCUCUGGCUGUCCUGGAACAAAGAUCCACCAUUAUCUGCUAUCUGAGUAUUGGAAUUAAAGUUUUAUGCCACCACACCUGGACACUGUCACAAGUCCUAUUUCUAGUUGGAAAAUGUGGCGUGAAUGACGACUUUGUGACAAAUCACCAUUGGAGAAGAAGCCCAUUUUGACACUCCCUGUAACUUGGAAGCUUAUGACAGGUGCCGUCUUGAGAGGGGACACAUUAUAAGAGACUGAUCUACUUUGGACAUCUGGAAAUAAGGAUCAAUCACAAGCCAAAGAAACUAGGGAAACAGAACCACAGCCCAUGUGUGGGUAAUGGCUACACAAGGAAGUCAUGGUUGAUGAGAGGGCUGGACAAAGAUACAGUAAGAAGCUCAUGUGGCAAGAAACUCAAGUGAUGAAGCAUUAACCUAUUGGUGGCCCCAUCCUCUUUGGUAGGAGUGUGAUAACUACAUAGAAUAAAAGCUCCUAGCCAUCGGAUCGUACCUGUUCUAAAUCUGUGGCUACCAUACAGUUUUCCUCUCACAGGACUGGGAGAUCUACAGUUCAGUGGACAUUUCCUAUGGCCUCCUCUCUUCCAUGCGGUGUUUGAUUUUGAACAGAAAUAGCACUGAAACAGGUCUUCCAGCCAAUGUGUCUCAGUGCUUUACCUGAUACCUCCUAUCCCAAUACACUCAAGAGAUACGGUAGCCGUCCCAAAGUACAUAAACUGGAGACUAUCUAGAGCAAGAAUCUGGCACACAACCCGCAACAAUAAUAAUAAUGAGAAGUGACUGUUGGAACUUAAGGGAGGGAAGCUCAUAAAUAAUUCUGUCACUGCUGAGACAGUAACUUUCUAUAUUUCUCUGAGAAUGUCAUAGAAUUUAUUUUGAGCAUAUUUUCCAACUCCUUCUAGAUUCGUCCUCAGCUCUCUACCCAUCUAACUUCAUGUUGUCUUUCUUUUUAAAACUCAUUGUGUUCAGAUUUUGCUGCCCAAAAUACUUUUAGAUGUGGAGCCCUCCACAGAGCAUGGUGGACCUACCAGGGUUCACAUCCUCAAUGAAAACUGAUUCAGUUAUCAAUUGUCAAAAUUUCCUCUAGAUAGUGUUAGGGCUUUCCUGCCUCAUGCUGGGAUUUUUGUCUGGCGUGAUUCAUUCAUACAUCUUGUGCAUGCUGUGACAAUUCAUAUGAGUUUGUAUACGUAUGCAAUUGCCCUGUUGUAUUGGGAAACAUUAUUUUCUUAUAGUCAUCUAUUACUACUGGCUCUAACUAUCAUUCUUCCUCCUCUUCCAUACAGAACCCUAAGACUUGGGGAGAGGAGUGUUAUAUAGAUAUCUCAUUUAGGGCUGAGCAUUCAUAGUCUCUUAUUUUUUGCACUUUAACCAGUUGUGUCUCUAUGCUAAUUAAUGUGAUGGUUUAAGUGAGAAUGGCUCCUGUAGGCUCAAAUAGUUGAAUAUGUGGCCCUCAACUGGUAGAUCUUUUUGGGAAGGAUUAGGAGGUGUGGCCUUGUCAGAGGAAGUGUGUCACCAGGGAUGGGCUUUAAGUUAUAAAAGAUGCCCAUUCCCAGUUUGCUUACAGAUCAAGAUGUGAGCUCUUGGGCUAAAGAGGUGGCUCAGUGGUUAAGAUCAUUGUUCUGCUCUUCCAGAGGUCCUGAGUUCAAUUCCCAGCAACCACAUGGUGGCUCACAUACUAGACGCUUGCUUCUGGCAUAUAGGUGUAAAUGCAAAUAAAGCACUCAUAUACAAAAAUAAAUAAAUAAAUCUUUAAAAAAAGAUGUGAGCUCUUUGCUAUUCCUGCUGCCAUGCUUUUGAUGGGGCAUCACAGACUCUAACCCUCUGAUGCCACAAGCUCAG